GACGAACGCUGGCGGCGUGCUUAACACAUGCAAGUCGAGCGGUAAGGCCUUUCGGGGUACACGAGCGGCGAACGGGUGAGUAACACGUGGGUGAUCUGCCCUGCACUUCGGGAUAAGCCUGGGAAACUGGGUCUAAUACCGGAUAUGACCUCCUAUCGCAUGGUGGGUGGGGGAAAGAUUUAUCGGUGCAGGAUGGGCCCGCGGCCAAUCAGCUUGUUGGUGGGGUAAUGGCCUACCAAGGCGAAGACGGGUAGCCGACCUGAGAGGGUGACCGUCGACACUAGGACUACGGCAGGGCCCAGAGUCGAACGUGGGACAGCGGGGGGAAAUAUUGUACAGUGGGCGAGAGCCUGAUGCAGCGGCGCCGGGGGAGGGAUGACGGCCUGUGGGGUAUGAACCUCUUUCGGCAGGGACGAAGCGCAAGUGACGGUACCUGAAGAAGAAGCACCGGCUAACUACGUG
Molecule: ribosomal RNA, 462 nt
Filed under: uncultured bacterium
Lineage: Bacteria
Description: partial 16S ribosomal RNA
Rfam family: Bacterial small subunit ribosomal RNA
Source: RNAcentral